UAAACUCCUGUUGUUGAGGAAGAUAAUGACGGUACUCAACAAGGAAGUGACGGCUAACUACGUGCCAGCAGCCGCGGUAAAACGUAGGUCACAAGCGUUGUCCGGAAUUACUGGGUGUAAAGGGAGCGCAGGCGGGAAGACAAGUUGGAAGUGAAAUCCAUGGGCUCAACCCAUGAACUGCUUUCAAAACUGUUUUUCUUGAGUAGUGCAGAGGUAGGCGGAAUUCCCGGUGUAGCGGUGGAAUGCGUAGAUAUCGGGAGGAACACCAGUGGCGAAGGCGGCCUACUGGGCACCAACUGACGCUGAGGCUCGAAAGUGUGGGUAGCAAACAGGAUUAGAUACCCUGGUAGUCCACACCGUAAACGAUGAUUACUAGGUGUUGGAGGAUUGACCCCUUCAGUGCCGCAGUUAACACAAUAAGUAAUCCACCUGGGGAGUACGACCGCAAGGUUGAAACUCAAAGGAAUUGACGGGGGCCCGCACAAGCAGUGGAGUAUGUGGUUUAAUUCGACGCAACGCGAAGAACCUUACCAAGUCUUGACAUCCCUUGACGAASAUAGAAAUAUGUUUUCUCUUCGGAGCAAGGAGACAGGUGGUGCAUGGUUGUCGUCAGCUCGUGUCGUGAGAUGUUGGGUUAAGUCCCGCAACGAGCGCAACCCUUAUGGUCAGUUACUACGCAAGAGGACUCUGGCCAGACUGCGNUUGACAAA
RNAcentral lists this ribosomal RNA (710 nucleotides) under Faecalibacterium prausnitzii. RNAcentral's name for it is "bacterial SSU rRNA". It matches the Rfam family "Bacterial small subunit ribosomal RNA", at positions 426 to 1162 of the family's 1533-position model. Lineage: Bacteria; Bacillati; Bacillota; Clostridia; Eubacteriales; Oscillospiraceae. The record is from RNAcentral.